Molecule: long non-coding RNA, 1475 nt
Filed under: Capsicum annuum
Lineage: Eukaryota; Viridiplantae; Streptophyta; Magnoliopsida; Solanales; Solanaceae
Description: long non-coding RNA (CANN_LNC021562)
Source: RNAcentral
GCCAUAAUAAGGCCUACCAAGGGCGGACCCACCUUAUAGCAAGGUGUGUCGUCCGAUGCUUCUUCAUCGAAAAUAUUAAUCAAUAGAUACAUCAAAUCUGGGGAAAAAAAACAGUUUGUAUAUAAAUAUGCAAUGACACAGCUUUAGCAAAGAGCACUAUGGUCUGUUCGUUAGGCGCCUAUCUAAUAAGGUUCUCUCUUGGACAGAGGUGGAUCCAGAAUUUUAAACUUGUGGGUUCCCAAGGUCUUUCCUGCCACUAAGCUAUCCCUUGGUUUAGUUAUGGGUUCCCACCUAUUAAUAUUUAUAACUUUUGGCGAUUUUUCUAUGUAAUUUUAAGCCUUACGGUAGCGAGUGUGGGUUCCCGGGAACCCACACCUUCUACUCUACAUCCGCCACUGCUCUUGGAGAUCGAACCCCAUUGGCAGCACAAUUUUGAGUUUUUUGUUUCUAUAGGUAGUAAUUGCUAAAACAUAGCAAGCUAUUAUUAGUUAAUAGGAUUUGAAUCCCCUAAAGCUCACUCCUCAAGCUAAACCUAAAAUCUAACGUCAAAAACAAUUAACCAUUCUUUGCCCUAUUUUGUUCAUCUAUUUUCUAUGUUAAAUGUCGACACUGCUUAUAAAAAAAUUCUAGUAUGCCACUGAGGCGUACAACUACUUGAGUAAUCUGGAAGUGAAGUUUCAUAUUUCAGAAUUUAAAUUCUAUUCAUGAGAAAAAGUAAAUUUCUUCCAGUGUUUGUAAUUAGAACCGUAAAUGGUAAUCACUUAAGAAUCUACAUACUCGCAGUCCGAUGGAAGUUGCACCAGGUAUAACUUCACCUAUUAAUAUUUAUAACUUUUGGCGAUUUUUCUAUGUAAUUUUAAGCCUUACGGUAGCGAGUGUGGGUUCCCGGGAACCCACACCUUCUACUCUACAUCCGCCACUGCUCUUGGAGAUCGAACCCCAUUGGCAGCACAAUUUUGAGUUUUUUGUUUCUAUAGGUAGUAAUUGCUAAAACAUAGCAAGCUAUUAUUAGUUAAUAGGAUUUGAAUCCCCUAAAGCUCACUCCUCAAGCUAAACCUAAAAUCUAACGUCAAAAACAAUUAACCAUUCUUUGCCCUAUUUUGUUCAUCUAUUUUCUAUGUUAAAUGUCGACACUGCUUAUAAAAAAAUUCUAGUAUGCCACUGAGGCGUACAACUACUUGAGUAAUCUGGAAGUGAAGUUUCAUAUUUCAGAAUUUAAAUUCUAUUCAUGAGAAAAAGUAAAUUUCUUCCAGUGUUUGUAAUUAGAACCGUAAAUGGUAAUCACUUAAGAAUCUACAUACUCGCAGUCCGAUGGAAGUUGCACCAGGUAUAACUUCACUACCAAAGUCAUUUGCUGCAGGAAACCUUUCCCGAAGUAGGUUUAACAUCACAUCUUUGCUUACGACAUAAAUACCCAUACUUGCAAUAUAUGGCUUCUCUCUAGCUUUUUCGUCAUCAAGGCCUAAAAUAGUAGU